Molecule: ribosomal RNA, 250 nt
Filed under: uncultured prokaryote
Description: partial 16S ribosomal RNA
Rfam family: Bacterial small subunit ribosomal RNA
Source: RNAcentral
UACGUAGGUGACAAGCGUUGUCCGGAAUGACUGGGCGUAAAGGGUGUGAAGGUGGCCAUUCAAGUUAGUAGUGAAAUCCCGGGGCUCAACUCCGGUGCUACUACUAAGACUGUUUGGCUUGAGUGCAGGAGGGGCAAAUGGAAUUCCUAGUGUAGCGGUGGAAUGCGUAGAUAUUAGGAGGAACACCGGUGGCGAAGGCGAUUUGCUGGACUGUAACUGACACUAAUGCACGAAAGCGUGGGGAGCAAAC